UAAAUGUUUUCUUAAGUUGUCAUCUAAUGGUUAAAACUGCUUUCUAAGUUUUCAUGUGAUAUUGCUAUUGUCAGUAAGUGAUCUGGGACUACACCACGGUUGCCGGUAGGGAGCGACUCCGUCUCUAUCACCAGGUUCUUCUAGCGGGUCUCAAGGGGGCAGGAAAGCGCCCCACCAAUUUGGGUAAGGUACGUGCAAUAGUCCAGGGAGCUGAGGAGACACCGGCGGGUUUCUUAGAAAGACUAAUGGAAGCUUACCACAUGUAUACCCCACUCGACCCCCUUGCGGAGGAGCAGCAGGGGGAUGUGAUCAUGUGCUUUAUUGGACAGUCAGCACCAGACAUCCAAAACAAACUGCAGCGGCUAAAAGGGUUGCAGGGGUAUACUAUACAGGACUUAAUAAAGAAGGCAAAAAAAAAAAUCUUAAAAAAAAAAAACCUCCAAAAGAGCAGGAGGAGAGGGAAGACAGGAGAGACAAAAAGCGUAACAGGGAACUGAGUAAAAUUCUGGUCACCGUAGUACAGAAUGCAGGACAGAGUAAGGCAGGACAGAACAGGGACCUGAAAGACAAAAGGAAGCCAUGGGUGGAAAGGGACCAGUGUGCCUACUGCAAAGAAAAAGGACACUGGGUCAAAGACUGCCCAAAGAAUCCUCAGGGACCCAAGAAGAAGCCUGUUACAGUCCUCUCUUUGGAAGAAGAUGACUAGGUAGGUCAGGGCCAGGAGCCCCCCCCCCCCUGAGCCCAGGAUAACCCUUGAUGUGGGGGGCUAGCUGGUGACCUUCCUAGUUGAUAUGGGAGCUCAACACUCAGUCUUGACCAAGGCAAAGGAGCCUUUGAGCUCCAGGACAUCCUGGGUCCAGGGAGCAACUGGGGGAAAAUUGUAUCGAUGGACAACUAAUCGAAAGGUCCAUUUGAGCAUGGGGCAGGUAAUGCACUCAUUCCUAUUGGUGCCGGACUGCCCUUACUCCCUCCUAGGCCGAGACCUCCUUUUGAAGGUCGGAGCCCAGAUACACUUCCAUGAGGAAGGGGCCACCGUAACGUGCUCAAAGGGGCAACCUCUCCAGGUGUUAACUGUGCGCUUGGAGGAUGAACAUCGGUUGCUUGAAAAACCCCCAUCUUCUGAUCCCUCCCUGGAUCCCAAAUAGCUCGCUGACUUUCCCCAAGCCUGGGCAGAGACUGCAGAAAUAGGGCUGGCUGCCAACCAGCCUCCCCUAAUUAUAGACCUAAAGCCCUCAGCUACUCCUGUGUCAAUCCGUCAGUACCCAAUGAGCAAGGAAGCUAAGGAAGGUAUCUGACCACACAUCCAGAGACUGUUACAACUAGGCAUUUUAAAGCCUUGCCAUUCACCAUGGGACCCCCCCCACUACCAGUAAAAAAAAACCAACACAGGGGACUACCGGCCAGUACAGGACCUGUGAGAGGUCAACCGGAGAAUGGGGGACAUACACCCCAUGGUGCCCAAUCCCUACAACUUACUGAGCACCCUGCCCCCGAGCCAUGUCUGGUAUACUGUGUUAGAUCUUAAAGAUACAUUCUUCUGUUUAAAACUGAGUCCUCAGAGCCAGCCUAUAUUUGCUUUUAAGUAAAAAAAUCCGGAGACAGGAUUCUCGAAACAGCUUACCUGGACAAGACUGCCACAAGGAUUCAAGAAUUCGCCCACCCUGUUUAAUAAAGCUCUACACCAAGACCUGGCCAACUUCCGAGUCAACCACCCAGACCUGGUCCUCCUACAAUAUGUGGACGACCUCCUCCUGGCAGCUGAAACUGAGCAUGACUGUUUGAGAGAUUUGGUUCGGCGCCAUGGCCUCUCUCAACCCAGCUACCCUGCUCCCGAAACCGGGAUCCGAGUCACAGGUCAGCCAUGACUGCCAUCAAGUGCUGGCUGAAGCACACAGAACCCGAAAAGAGCUGACUGACCUGCCCAGAUGCUGAAUGCACCUGGUACACGGAUGGGAGCAGCUUCCUGCACCAAGUUCAGCAGGUCACUGAGUCCUGCGUCCCUUACGCCAAGGUAAACGCUGGACACCUCAGAUUUCCGGAGGGAGCCAGAAUAAGAGUGGAAUGGCCUGGAGCCAACUGGGAGGUUGAUUUCACAGAGAUAAGGCCAGGCCCGAUUAAGAGCACUCCAGAUCAUCCAGAACCAGGUCUGGAAGCCUCUUGCUGCAGCCUAUCGCACCGGAGAAACAACUGUCCCACACCCCUUCCAGAUUGGUGACUCUGUGUACAUCAGCAGACAUCAGUCCAAGACUCUUAAACCUUGCUAAAAGGGCCCAUUCACCGUGCUGCUGACAACCCCCACUGCUCUCAAGGUAGACAGAAUUGCUGCCUGAGUUCACGUCUCACGCGUGAAAUGAGCACCACCUGAGGACCACAGAAACCCGGACAGACCAACCCGAUGGAAGCUUCAGCAUACCCAAAAGCCACUCAAGAUAAGACUCUUAAAAACUGUUUAGUGCUUGUAAUGUUUUUGGCUUUCCCCACCCCAACUGUAACCAACACCCAUGUUCAGGCCAUCAGGACCACUGAGAUACCAUAGAUUUUAAGAUUAAAAUCAGUACAAAAGAAAAGGAGGGAAUGAAAAACCCAAGGAACCCCUAUUCCAGAGUUUUGGUGUGCUUAGUAACAAGUGUGCUAACUGCAAAUUUUCGCUUCUGUAUUCAAUAGCCUUGCUUGCUAAUGCCAGAUGUCCCUCCCCCAAGAUUAGCCUACACUCUAAGUUUCGAUUUCCCAAGUUUCGGUUCUCCUAAAGUUUCAGUUUCCCCAGAAAAGAAACAAAUUUUAACUCCCACCCAGGGCAACCAAUCCCCAUCCAAAGGACCCAAUGAGUACUCAUGAUAAACUUUAAACUAGUCAAUCAAGCCAAAGCCCACAAAAUAUGUUAAUCUUGUGGUUUUUGCCUUUAAAAGUUGCUUGUAACUGCUGUUUGGGGCUUCUCUUCGCCUCUGGUGAUGGGGAGCCCGUUUGCACAAACGCCUAAUAAAAAUCCUCUUGU
Molecule: long non-coding RNA, 2992 nt
Organism: Lepus europaeus (European hare)
Lineage: Eukaryota; Metazoa; Chordata; Mammalia; Lagomorpha; Leporidae
Exons: 4
Source: RefSeq, a predicted model, not a curated record